RNAcentral lists this ribosomal RNA (1372 nucleotides) under uncultured bacterium. Its description in RNAcentral is "bacterial SSU rRNA". It matches the Rfam family "Bacterial small subunit ribosomal RNA", at positions 28 to 1381 of the family's 1533-position model. The record is from RNAcentral.
GAUGAACGCUGGCGGCGUGCCUAAUACAUGCAAGUCGAGCGAACGGACGAGAAGCUUGCUUCUCUGAUGUUAGCGGCGGACGGGUGAGUAACACGUGGAUAACCUACCUAUAAGACUGGGAUAACUUCGGGAAACCGGAGCUAAUACCGGAUAAUAUUUUGAACCGCAUGGUUCAAAAGUGAAAGACGGUCUUGCUGUCACUUAUAGAUGGAUCCGCGCUGCAUUAGCUAGUUGGUAAGGUAACGGCUUACCAAGGCAACGAUGCAUAGCCGACCUGAGAGGGUGAUCGGCCACACUGGAACUGAGACACGGUCCAGACUCCUACGGGAGGCAGCAGUAGGGAAUCUUCCGCAAUGGGCGAAAGCCUGACGGAGCAACGCCGCGUGAGUGAUGAAGGUCUUCGGAUCGUAAAACUCUGUUAUUAGGGAAGAACAUAUGUGUAAGUAACUGUGCACAUCUUGACGGUACCUAAUCAGAAAGCCACGGCUAACUACGUGCCAGCAGCCCCGGUAAUACGUAGGUGGCAAGCGUUAUCCGGAAUUAUUGGGCGUAAAGCGCGCGUAGGCGGUUUUUUAAGUCUGAUGUGAAAGCCCACGGCUCAACCGUGGAGGGUCAUUGGAAACUGGAAAACUUGAGUGCAGAAGAGGAAAGUGGAAUUCCAUGUGUAGCGGUGAAAUGCGCAGAGAUAUGGAGGAACACCAGUGGCGAAGGCGACUUUCUGGUCUGUAACUGACGCUGAUGUGCGAAAGCGUGGGGAUCAAACAGGAUUAGAUACCCUGGUAGUCCACGCCGUAAACGAUGAGUGCUAAGUGUUAGGGGGUUUCCGCCCCUUAGUGCUGCAGCUAACGCAUUAAGCACUCCGCCUGGGGAGUACGACCGCAAGGUUGAAACUCAAAGGAAUUGACGGGGACCCGCACAAGCGGUGGAGCAUGUGGUUUAAUUCGAAGCAACGCGAAGAACCUUACCAAAUCUUGACAUCCUUUGACAACUCUAGAGAUAGAGCCUUCCCCUUCGGGGGACAAAGUGACAGGUGGUGCAUGGUUGUCGUCAGCUCGUGUCGUGAGAUGUUGGGUUAAGUCCCGCAACGAGCGCAACCCCUAAGCUUAGUUGCCAUCAUUAAGUUGGGCACUCUAAGUUGACUGCCGGUGACAAACCGGAGGAAGGUGGGGAUGACGUCAAAUCAUCAUGCCCCUUAUGAUUUGGGCUACACACGUGCUACAAUGGACAAUACAAAGGGCAGCGAAACCGCGAGGUCAAGCAAAUCCCAUAAAGUUGUUCUCAGUUCGGAUUGUAGUCUGCAACUCGACUACAUGAAGCUGGAAUCGCUAGUAAUCGUAGAUCGGCAUGCUACGGUGAAUACGUUCCCGGGUCU